This 232-nucleotide long non-coding RNA is filed under the name Elaeis guineensis (African oil palm). Its description in RNAcentral is "long non-coding RNA (EGUI_LNC061051)". The record is from RNAcentral. Lineage: Eukaryota; Viridiplantae; Streptophyta; Magnoliopsida; Arecales; Arecaceae.
CUGGCUCUCCAUAGGGGUCCCCAUUCACUAUCACUAGGGCAUAUGAUACCAUCUCUUCGAAGCCAUAUCAUUCUGGUUGCCUGACGUUCCUUUUGGGCUUAUGCAGUGUAACCCCGAUAUCCAUCCUAGGUUCAGUUUGCUCCUGCUGGACCUUCUGACUUCUUUCAUUCAUUCGAGCUCUCUCUACUUAUGGAGACACCUUUAGAAAGUGCUCCACCUGAAUACCAAGUCC